GCCAGCGUGGCAUAGUGUUUUGAGUGAUGGAUUGUGAUUCUGUAGACUAGGGUUGGAUUCCCAACGUGGUCA
Phrynosoma platyrhinos (Desert horned lizard) is the source of this 72-nucleotide non-coding RNA. Lineage: Eukaryota; Metazoa; Chordata; Lepidosauria; Squamata; Phrynosomatidae. The record is from the annotation of a GenBank genome assembly.